Non-coding RNA from Pocillopora verrucosa, 1393 nucleotides. The record is from RefSeq and is a predicted model, not a curated record. Lineage: Eukaryota; Metazoa; Cnidaria; Anthozoa; Scleractinia; Pocilloporidae.
AUUGGCGGCAGCCAUAUUUCCCUCGCCACUUUAAGUUAGUGAUUACACAAAGCGAAAUGUCUUUCUUUGAAACUCUCGAAAAGCUGUUAGGUACGAAAGAUUUGUACGAAGCACUAAGGCUAACUAAAUCAGCUUCUGAGUCGGAGAUAAAGCGAGCUUAUCGUAAAAAAUCGUUAGAAGUUCAUCCUGAUAGGGUUCCCGAAGCGGAGAAAGCGAGCGCCACCGAAAAAUUCCAAUGUUUGAGCAGAGUUUACACAGUUCUGUCUGAUCAAGACAAGAGGGCGUUGUACGAUGAAAGUGGGGAAGUUGACGACGAUGUUGUGGUCCAACAACGUGAUUGGGAUGCCUACUGGAGACUACUGUUUCAGAAAAUCACUAUGGAAGAUAUUGGAGAGUUUGAGAAAAAUUACAAAGGAUCAGAAGAGGAAGUGAACGAUCUCCGGUCGGCGUACUUGGAUUAUGAAGGUGAUAUGGACGCUAUCUUGGAAAAUGUGCUAUGCUCCACGAUCGGCGAUGGUGAAAGAUUCCGAAAAAUUAUUCAAGAUUUGAUUUCAAAGGAAGAUCUACCGACUUUCCCAGCUUUUGCAAAUGAGGAUAAAAAGAAGAAGAAAGCGCGCAAGCAAAAAGCUCAGAAAGAGGCAGCAGAAGCAGAGGAGAUGGCCAAAGAGCUUGGCUUAAAUGACAAAACUGAUGAUGGUCUGAGACAACUGGUUAUGAAACGGCAGAAAGACCGGCAAGGGGCCAUGGAUGACAUGAUAGCUGGGCUGGAAGCAAAAUACUGCAAACCAAAGAAACAGAAAACAUUUAAAGGAAAGAAAAAAUAGUUUUUUUACCUGAAUCCAAAUCUGUACUGGGAUGAAAAAUUUAUAUAUCCUGCAAACUCACUUCCAGGAGCAAAAAUGAAGCAAGUAGCAGUUAUCCUUCUGAUGUUGUGCAUCUUUGGGGCUGUAUGUAGAUGCAAUGGUAAAAAAGUCACAUAUGCAAGGAAUGACAUCAAAGUUGACCUCAUAAAGGUUGUAUCGUAGAGAGCGGGCUGACAAUAAAAAGCGAAGUUGCCAUGGACAGUCAUUGCGUGUGUGCGCGUAUGUUUUCUGCCCACAAGCAGGAAAAGAAAUAAGCAAAGUCGAAAUUGCCAUGGGAAGUGUGUGUGUGUGUGUUCGAAGACAUCUCUGUAGAACAUCGAUCAUGACCCUGAAAUGAGGAGGUUAUUAAGAAGAAUACGAUAUUUUAACAUGCAGCACAGGGGUAGUCAGGGCCGGUGGUCUUUGUAUCACUCGCUUUUUACAUGAUUCUUAGUUUUGUCUUAGAUGUACAAACAGAAUCCUCAAUUUUUUAUCAUAGGCCAACUGAUAAGCAAACAUCAGAAGAACAAAAAAUUUGAAAAAUGCUGUUU